This 451-nucleotide ribosomal RNA is filed under the name uncultured bacterium. RNAcentral describes it as "partial 16S ribosomal RNA". It matches the Rfam family "Bacterial small subunit ribosomal RNA", at positions 28 to 523 of the family's 1533-position model. The record is from RNAcentral.
GAUGAACGCUGGCGGCGUGCCUAAUACAUGCAAGUCGAACGAAGUCUUCGGACUUAGUGGCGAACGGGUGAGUAACACGUCGGUACCUACCCCGAAGUGGGGAAUAACUGCCCGAAAGGGUGGCUAAUACCGCAUAAUACCGCAAGGUUAAAGCAGUAAUGCGCUUCGGGAGGGGCCUGCGUCCCAUUAGCUAGUUGGUAGGGUAAUGGCCUACCAAGGCGACGAUGGGUAGCUGGAUCGAGAGGUUGACCAGCCACACUGGGACUGAGAUACGGCCCAGACUCCUACGGGAGGCAGCAGUAAGGAAUCUUCCACAAUGGACGAAAGUCUGAUGGAGCAACGCCGCGUGCAGGAUGACGGCCCUCGGGUUGUAAACUGCUUUUAUACGGGAGGAUUAUGACGGUACCGUAUGAAUAAGGACCGGCUAACUACGUGCCAGCCGCCGCGGUAA